RNAcentral lists this transfer RNA (67 nucleotides) under Laimosemion tecminae. RNAcentral describes it as "tRNA-Cys". The record is from RNAcentral. Lineage: Eukaryota; Metazoa; Chordata; Actinopteri; Cyprinodontiformes; Rivulidae.
AGCCCUGGAGUAUUAUAUAUGUCAGAUUGCAAAUUUGGAGAAGCCGAUUAGCUGUCGGCCGGGGCUU